AAAUUGAAGAGUUUGAUCAUGGCUCAGAUUGAACGCUGGCGGCAGGCCUAACACAUGCAAGUCGAACGGUAACAGGAAGCAGCUUGCUGCUUUGCUGACGAGUGGCGGACGGGUGAGUAAUGUCUGGGAAACUGCCUGAUGGAGGGGGAUAACUACUGGAAACGGUAGCUAAUACCGCAUAACGUCGCAAGACCAAAGAGGGGGACCUUCGGGCCUCUUGCCAUCAGAUGUGCCCAGAUGGGAUUAGCUUGUUGGUGAGGUAACGGCUCACCAAGGCGACGAUCCCUAGCUGGUCUGAGAGGAUGACCAGCCACACUGGAACUGAGACACGGUCCAGACUCCUACGGGAGGCAGCAGUGGGGAAUAUUGCACAAUGGGCGCAAGCCUGAUGCAGCCAUGCCGCGUGUAUGAAGAAGGCCUUCGGGUUGUAAAGUACUUUCAGCGGGGAGGAAGGGAGUAAGGUUAAUAACCUUAUU
This 476-nucleotide ribosomal RNA is filed under the name Salmonella enterica subsp. enterica serovar Senftenberg. Its description in RNAcentral is "partial 16S ribosomal RNA". It matches the Rfam family "Bacterial small subunit ribosomal RNA", at positions 1 to 470 of the family's 1533-position model. The record is from RNAcentral. RNAcentral also lists the same sequence under 1 other name. Lineage: Bacteria; Pseudomonadati; Pseudomonadota; Gammaproteobacteria; Enterobacterales; Enterobacteriaceae.